GCAGCCUGGAGAUCAGGGUAUUCUCUUCUGUCCUCAGGGUUCAGGGUAAAGCUGUCUUCAGGAGAAUGGUCAUCUGCAGUGAGCGUGUUCUGCCGCUGGCUGUGGUUGGCGGCGCCCGCGGGGCCCUGCGGCUCUCCGCCGCCGCCGCGCAGCACGGUGAUGUGCAAGGUGAGCAGGAGCAGCCCCAGCAGCAGCAGCAGCUCCGCCGCCAGCCGCACCAUCCUCUUGAGCCGGGCGGCUUUAGGGCCCCGCGGCGGCGGCGGCCGAGGAGGAGGCGGAGGAGGAGGAGGAGCCGCGGCCGCCGCCGCCGGAGCCGCCGCCGCCGCCGGAGCAGCCCCGGGGUCGGCCGCCGGGACCGCGCCGCUCUCGGCGUCGGCGGGGCAGCGGCGGCAGCAGCAGCAGCAGCAGCAGCGGGGGCCGCCACACCACGGCGGAGCCACGUCGGGGCGGGACGCGGCGGAGGCGGCGGCGGGAAUCCCGUGGCUGCCCCGCGGCGGGCGGCAGGUAGCGGCGGGGCCGCGGGCAGGCGGCGUCUCCGCGAGCAGCCCUGCAAGCCAGAGGCACCGUGGGCCGUCGGAGGGACGGAGCGAGCGGGCCGCGGGGCCGGCCCGGCCCCUCCCGGCGAGAGGGGGGCAAUGAGGGGCAGCCCCCCCACCCCCUCCUCUUCCUCCUCCUCCUCCUCCUCUCCUUCCUCCUCCUCCUUGCUGAGGGCUCCCCGGGCCGCGGGACUGCGGGAGGCUCAGCCGGCUGCCCUCGAUGGGAGCUGGGUACCUGGCUCCAUCCCUUCUCUCUGUCUCCUAGGGCUGGGCAGGGGCAGCGCCGCACUCUCUCCUGCCACCGUGCGUGCGUGUGUGCGGGCGGGCGGUCGGCUCUCGUCCCGCUGCCGCUGCUGCUCCCGCACCAACUUUCUCGCCCCCUCGCUCUGCGCCGGGAGAGGUGUGCGGCGGAUGCUUUUAUAGUGCCCUGCCUCCCUCCCCUGCUGUCCUCCCCCGUGCUCGCUCCCCCCCUUUCCCUUCUCUCUCUCCGCAGCUCCGCCGCUGCCUGCCGUCCCCCUCCCAUCCCCGAGCCCCCCGGGCCGGGCACUCGCUGCACCUUGCGCGGAGCUCCGGGCUGCGGGGAAUGCCGCCUCUGCGUCCCCUUGCAGGAGGCACAGCUUUCCUCCUUGCUGGCUGUAGAAGCACAGCGGAACAAACGCUGUGUCUCAGGUGGGAGGCCCCCAAGUUUACAGUGAAGUUGUGUUUGAGAAGAAAUGAUAACGGUUCAGUGGAAAUGGGGGUGAGGUGACUGCCUGCUGUGGGUCGGUGUACUGUGGUGUCCGAUGUGGAAGAGCCAAACCUCUUCCUGAGUGCUGCAGGUCACUGUAAUGAGAGCGCAGCUCAAAGAAACGUGAAAGAGAUAGAAAGUCACCUCACCAAAAAUGGGACAGUGGGGAUCUUUGUGGUCGUUCUUCUACAGUUCAGACUGUGACGUGUAAAAAGCAAGGAUCUGUGCAACUGGGGCCUGUGUGAGUGAGCAGCAGAGGGCUGUGCGUGGCAGCUGGGAGGUCGAGCUGGUGCCAGAAUGGCCAAAAGCAGAAGGAGCAGUCCCCACCCCAAAUGUUUUCAGCCUGGGAGUGACAUCCCCAGCAGUUCCGCUGCGAAGCGAGGGGGAGAUGCACUUCCAGAGCGUGGUGCCAGCUGUGGCCAAGGCACAAGGUGGGAUCCCGCCUGCAGCACACCGCGCCCUGUCUCCCUUGGCCCAGCAGUGUGUGGGGCAUGAGGAGAGCCGGAGCUCACAGAGGGCCUCGGACAGGUCUGGUGUGUCCGAGGGCUGCAGUCACAAGUGAGUCAGAGUGCUGGCACGUUCCAGGCAGGCAUUAUCAUUAUCCAGUGAUAAUACUGUGAACUGUCAGCUGUCAAACAGGGAAGUGGUUAAAAUAAUUGCACCGAAACACUGUUAGUUAUGAGACCAAAACCCACAGAACCCAACCCUUCAGGUUUAAGGGUUUUUAACCCGCUAUGAGCCCCUCUGCCUCAUGAGAUCACUCCUUGAGGAGCACCCAGUAUAGCACCCGUGCGCUCGGAUGCGCAGGGAAAUCCUACAAAGCCAUUCCACGUUACAUAAAGCCCUAACAGCCUGUGGGAGAGCUCUAAAAGAUGGUUGUAUUUUCUUUAACCCAAACAUUCCUUACGCUAAUCAAAAUACCAAGGAGAUAAAAACACUGUUGCUUCAGUUGUCAUCGCUUAGCCUUGGCUUUCCUGCUGCCAUCGCCGGGAUGCUGGCAGCCAGUGGCAGCGGGCAGGAAAUACGGGGCAGGAGAAAUUGGGCAGGAAAAAGGCAGAGCGGUCCUCCAGGUGUGGCAGGGCCUGUCCCUGCCUGGUGGCUGUCGGCGGCUCCUGGCUGUUGAGGAAAAGUGGAAACUUGGCACAUGAGUUGUGUAUUUCAGAGCUCAAUGGCACAAGUCGAUGGCCGGGGGAGACAAGAGGAUGUAAUGCGAAACAGUCCAAGCAACAGCCUGGUGAGCAGCGCACACAUGGAUCUGCUGCUGAGCUCUGGGUAAUGUAUGUUCUCCCUCGCCUUACGGAAGACUGAACCAAAAGACAUCUUUAAUCCAGAUGAGAUGAGCCCAAGCUGGUGCGUGUUUCCUCAUGGCACAUUAAGUUUUAUGUGUUACGCUGUUGUGGAAGGACAGAGGGAUGGAGCAGUGCUACUAUUGGCAGUGAGCGGCUGGCAGCAAGAAACCAAAGUCCCUCCUGCUUGAAAAAGCUGGGACAAAAGUGGCACUCGUGUAUGGCGACAGUGCUGCGUGGCUGUGCCGGGUAGGAGCAGGAAGUGUGCCAUAGAUGCCAAUUGAAAUUCACACUGUUAAACUGGCAGAUGACUUCAUCAAUGAAUUGCAGCCCUUAGGGAAAAUGUACUCAAAAGCAAAGGGAAAAGCAACCCUGUUUUGAGGACUGUCCCCUGGGGUCCAUCAGGGCUCUGCUCACCCUGUCCACCAAAACAGCACACCGUGGUCACUGUGCCACUUGCAGUUCUUGUGGCCAGCAAGCUGUGCAUAGGGCUGAGUUUGCUUUGCAGGACAAACCCCACCCCAGCACCACAAGGGUACCUACACCGGGUGGUACGAGUCCCACUCCUGGAAACACGCACCGCCAGGCUGAGAAGUGACACCAUGUGAAGCCUGGGUGGUCCUGCUGACUGAAAUCAUUAGGAUGUUAAUUGCAGCCGCUCAAGUGUGAAAAAUCCUCAUUUUGGAUGAGUGCUGCCGCCAGGUGACAUCCUGCAAAGCUAGCUGGAGAGGGAGGGAGGGAAGAGUAAGGUGAUGUAACACCACCAUCAGUACUUCAUUUCAGGAGUGCGGAGGAGGCGGAGGUGGGAACAAUAGGUGAACCAAGUGUGAAUGCCACUGCCACUGGUGUCAGAGCACUGUGGCUCAGCUGGGGCCCACACCCCAGCUGUCCCAGCAGCUAAAGGAUGCAGGUGCUCACCUGUUUGUCCAGGUUACCCCUUUAGUGUCAGCCUUGCUCCAGGACAGUGGAGGGGCCCUGUUGGGAAGGCUGACAGCUUUUCAGAUGUGGCUGCUGCAGCCCCGCUGCUCUCCUCAGCUUGCUCCUCCCUGCGCCCACUCCCAGCAUGCUGUGGUUUUAUCUUUAAGCCCGGGGGUUGCUUUAAAAUUGACUGUGAUGAAAACCUGGCUCCAGUAAAGUCAUUGGCAAAGCUCCCAUUGACUUCAGAGGAGCCAGGAUUUCACCUGAAGACACUGUGUAGAUGAGUGGUGAAUGGAAAGCACAUAUCUGGCUUCCUGAGGGUUAUUGGAGGUGGUGACGACCUCUGCUCUGGUGAGCAUUGAGCAAUGGUGGGUUGAGACAGUUGGCUAAAGCUUCUCUUGCCUCUUCCUCAGCUUUGCUCUACCGUCUCUUCUUGGAUCCGCUUAUCAAGGUGGAAUUCAAUACCUGUUUGCCCACACUGCCCUUCCCCCACUGCCAGCAGAUCAGCAGAUAGGAGACAGAAUGGCUGAUGAGCUUCCAGCUCCAACCUCUAAGCUGGGAGCCACAAAUGCACACACAACACAAAGGUCUUAAAAAAAAAAAAAAAAAAAGGAAAAAAAAGAAUAACCUUCCCCUGAUAACAACGUCAGCCUUUCUUUGACACAUGCUUCCUUUAUCUCAACAAAGUACAACUGGAGGAGUAACAGCAUCUUUUUACAGUGUCCGGUCAGCUCACCUUCCCUGCUUCUCCCAGACCUGCGCUCUCCUUCCCACCUUCAUACUCAGCCCCCAGGCGGACCCGCUGGCUGAGACAACACUUCUCAGCUGUGGGACAGACUGGAAAAGCAGCGGCCACUUAUAUUAACUCUUGAAAUGGAAACGUGCAACGAGUGGGGUCUGAAUGAGAGAAGAUGGAAACGGAGAAAGCAGCACAGCUCAGUUUCCCACCUCUAUUAUUUUUAAUACCGAAUCGUGUUUAUUUUACUCUCCCCCACAUUUUCACUUUUCAGUAUGCUGUGCGUUUUGUGCUGAUGAUGUGCAGCUGCACCAUAGCGUUUGUCAGGGCUGUGGGAAUCAGCACGAUGGGGAAACUCUCCAGAAGUGCCCAAAGAGCCCAAAUUCUGCUGACAUGCACAGGCGCCCUCCACAGCACGUUCACAACCAACCAACCAACCAAAAACGGAAGAGAUAAAUAGAGCAGUUUACACCUUCCACACCUAUGGUUUCCAACCCCUUUAUUUCCCCUGGGAAAACAUCACAUUACUGGAUUGCAAUUGGCUUUUUGUUGAAGGUUGUUUUUGGUGAUGCUGGAAGUACUUAAUUACAACCCAGAAGAAAGCAGAAAGCCAGCUGAGCUCUGGGGAAGGAGAGGAGAGGAUUUUCACAACAAACGUGGUGCUGGUGGGUGAGGCGAAGGGCUGUCUCCAUGGCAGAGAACCUCACAUCCCCACAGAAGAAGUAAAUAAAAUUCAGCUCAUGUCUCGAUGGCAUCAGACAAUGUCACCUGGCUUAGCCAGUUUAACACAAAAGGCAUAGGGCUGUGCUGGAGCUGUGCUGCCAGGGAUGAGGAUUUCAUUGGUGAGGUGGUGCCUCCUGGGUAGUGGCUGCUACAAAGGUGGCAGAAACAAGGACCAUGAGGACAGGUGUUUCCCUGCCAUUCCCUUCUUUCUAAAGCCCUGGUGCUGAGCCCACUGGUACCCAAAUCCAAGCACAGUGACAAACACUGUGAUCCCUACAGAGCUGUCUGAAUGAUCCGCUGCUUUGACAACAGUCUUUUUAAACAGGUAUGUUUGCUGAGAUGCAGGGAAAAGCACUUGUGUGAAACGAAUCUUCUGUAGAGAUGGUGGCAGUGUGCUUGGUGCAGUCUUACCUGUUACAGAGCCAUGUGGCACGCUGCAAGGAAACAGCAGGAGGAGGCUCACAGUUAUUAAUGCAGGUGUUAGUGUUGUUGAGUGGCUGUUCCUAAAGUCAUUUGUGCCAGGCUACAGACAGGCAGCUGGGUUAGAUAUCCCUAACAGCAGCGGGGCACGGCAGGCUGGGUUUUGUGUCCUCUGUUAGCACAGCUUUUAGCAGUGCUGGCCAGGUUAGCAAUACCCCGGGACCAACAAUGGUAAUCAUAACAGCAAACAGUGGCAGAUAUCCUGUGCAAUAUCCCAGGCAAUAAAGGAUGAGAUUAACUUGAAAAGUCUUUGUAAAGGACGAUGAUAUGAAGUAAAGCAAUGGAGAGGAAAAAAAAAAAAAAAAGAACCUGGGGCUCUCGUAUCAAGUAUGUAAUUGAAGAAUAACAUUCUCUGCUACCCAAGUUCAAUCAUGCUGUCUAGGAAACAAAUGUGGGUGGUUUGAAAGCAACGGCUUCACCUGCUGUCCACAGCGGGAUGUGGAAGUCUGCGUGGAUCGGUGGCCGGAGCACAGAGCUGGACUGGGGAAAGGCACCCAGAGAGCAGGCCUGGGGUUGGUGAGUGCUGGUGGUGAGGGGACAGAGAGCAUCACCUCCCGCCUGUGCCCGGGAAAUCGUGCAGCUGUCUGCCCUGGUCUUGCUAGAAGCAGAAAUUUUGAGGAACCUGCUCCAAACUGGAGACACAGGGCUGAGAAGGUGGGAGGCAAUGGGCUACAGCUCAGCACAUUUGUUUGAGGCAUCUAUCCUACAUAGGAGAGGUUUCCUCCUCACCUAACCUGAAGACAACAGCAAGUAUGAAUGGAACAGCAUGGAAAAAGCAAUUCCUGGAGCUCCACCUUGCUGCCUGCAACAGUUACUUGCUGCUAAGCAAGGACUGAGUCUUCUCUGUUUACCGGUAACAUCCUAUAGCAAUGAAAAUCAGCUUCAGGAGGUAGUGCAAGCCUAUGGAAAUCCUCAAAGGAAAGAGGCUUCAGAAAGAUUGGUGGAAAGCACUACCACUGAAUGUCAACACAGCCCCAUUUGAUCAAGCGCGGGCUUUCCCAGAAUCAUAGAAUGGCUUGGACUGGAAGGGACCCUAAAGCCCAUCCAGCUCCAACCCCCUGCCGUGGGCAGGGCUGCCACCCACUGAAUCAGGCUGCACAGAGCCCCAUCAAACCUGGCUUUGAAUGCCUCCAGGGUGCUUUGUCCUUCUACUGCACUGGACAUAACCAGUGUCCCUUUUGUGCUGCAACAUCCCUUCAUAGUUUGUAUGUUUCCAGUGCAUUUUCUCACGUAUAGAGUCAUUUUCUUAAAACGGGGGCUGACUGGGCUUGCUGUUUCUAUUGAAGCUGCUGGUGGUGUUUCUCCAGGAGAGUCCACCAGUCUGAGCAAAGGGCAGGGCAAUCACCUGGCCUUCUGUAGUUUUCUUUCAGAGUUGUCUCUUUGCAAGGUUAGAGAUGGGGAGGCUGUUUCUGGCACUAAAUGCACAGAGCGGGUGGCUGAUAAGAUGAUUAGCUCAACAAAACAGAAAGCUUGUGAUAAAAUGAAAUUAUUUCCAAAAAGUGAGAAUCACAGACUCAUUAAGGUUGGAAAAGACGUCUAAGAUCAUCACAUCCAACCUUCAACCCAUCCCCCCCAUGCCCACUAAACACAUCCCUCAGUGCCACAUCUCCACAUUCCUUGAAUACCUCCAGGGACGGUGACUCCAGCACCUCCCUGGGCAGCCUGUGCCACUGCCUGACGGCUCUUUCUGUGAAGAAAUAAUACUCAACCUGGUAACCAGCCUUACAAUCUUACCUGAUAAUACAACAAAGAAAUGAAUUUCAGUGCAGGCAGGAUCAGACCCUUGUGCAUGAAGGAUCUCUCUACAGUACAUGGAGACGCUAAAAAGAUCUUGUUUAAACAAGAAACAACUUGAAACAGAAUGAAGAAAUCUAAAGAGAGAGAGAAAAAAGCCAAUUAACCCUCUUUGACUUCUGGUGCUUAACCUCAAGCAGCUUUCUUUUAGAUCCCUUGGGGGGUUCAUCUGUAAAAUGCUCCAGUUUACAAGUGGGUUUAACUACAACAUGCUGCUUUCAACCCGAGGCAGACAGGGACAGAUCCAAUUGACACCUGCUUCAGACAACAAAUGGGACACAAAAGAUGAAACUCGUUUCAAAGGGUCUAUUUGUUUGUCUCUUGUCAUGGAUUAAACCAGGGGGCCGCUAUUUCAGAUUGGAUUCUGCUUUCAUUCCAGUCAAUGGAAAAAAAAAUAAUCCUAUUUGUGUGGAUAGGAUAAUGCAAAGCUGGCCCUUGGCAAGGAGAAGUGCUGGUUGUUGCCGAAGCUUUACUGACAGUUCUGCAGUGAGCGACGACACAGUACUUCUGAAAUGCGCGAUUUGCAUGCCAGAUGUUUGAAAUAUGAAUAUUCACACUUGUAGAACUUAAAACAGAACGAUGAAAGUUUACUGAAAAACAAGUGGGAAUACAAGAAUUUUGGUAAGAAUGCGGAGUACCACAGUGCUUUUUAAAAAUAGGUCUUCAGUUAUUUGAUUCAAGUCUAACUCAAUUUAGAAAAUUCUUCCUGUCUAAAGCAAUUUCUGUAUGGGGGGCGGGGGAAGAACAGAGAAAAAUUGCAGAAAUUAUGCCUUUUUGAAACACAAACCAAACGAGGAAAAAAAAAAAACAAAAAAAAACCAAACCAAAGCCUGCUUCAUUGCCAGCAGCUUCAUUAAUGGACAUAACGAGAUGCUGAAGCACUCUAAAUCAGCAGUGAGUUCCACCACCCCCUGCACACAGCGUGCCGGCUCCAGGCACGUGCACCCCAAUGAACUGUGUGCUGUUGGUUGCCCAAUAGGAAAGGAAAUAAUAGGAAAAAAGCCCGACACGAACAUUUUGGCAGCUCCUUGCUUCAAAGAGAACAGAACUUCUGCCUGCAUUCUGUGCACUGUGACAGCCUGCUUCCAACGCGUGCACGCAAAGUAGGCGGCGCGCACAGGGGAGCGCUAACUCGGAAUUUCCUGCCUCCUCCAACAGCGUUAACAUUCCAUUAACAAAUAAUUCUGGGUUAAACAUUACUUUGUAGCAUGCGUUUACCCAAAUGCCUUAAGUUGGAUUUCUGAGGCUAAAGGAUGCGUGGCUUUGUGUCACAUCAACUGUUCUGGUUUGGAAGCGGUGCACCCUCUCUGCAGGUAGAGACCAUGCACACCACACACACACGUUCUGAUUUGCAGGAGCAAGCAGUGCUAGCAUGGAGCCCCUUUUGCUGACAAUCUCACCUUCUUUAGGGCUUUCAUUGAUUUAACUGUUUCAGUCGUACCUUUAAUUGGAACAGGAAUUCUAGGCACAAAGCAGGCACAGGACAUAAGAGGUCUGUAAGGCUGGGUCAUCCCAGGCUGCUGGUACAGGUGUGAUUGGAGAGAUCAGAUCUGGAGAGAUGAACUGGACGCGUGUGGAACCAAAUGCCGCAGAUCGCUGGUGUGUUGGAUGACCCAAAUGGUAGCAAUGGCUAAAGGUACUGAACCUGAAACCCUCAGGAAUCCCAAACAAAUUCACCUAUGUUAUACAGUUGCCUAAUUAUUAGUUGCCUUAUUAGUUGCCUAAUAAGUUAAUUUGAAGUAGAAAGCAUUUAGGAUCGUGGGGAAAAAAAAAUCAUUAUGUAGAUGUUUAAAUUGUUCUGCUAUGUCGCAUUCUUGCAAUGGUCUUUACAAUUAAGCACAGCGGCUGUGAUUCUGCCUUUAACAAACUGAUGGCGAUACUCUUGGAAGCAGCUGGACUACAAACAGUUCUGCUUCCCAGAGUGCGGCGGUUCCAUAUCUAAUGACAUCUACUUAUUGCAGAUGUCAUUACCAAGUAAAAUAAUUGAUUUGGUCGAUAAGGAAAUAGAGCACUUGAAGCAUAACAUGACAAGAGAUAGGAUACCUCUGCGGUCCACCGGCAUUCUUCAGCUGUUUCAGCAGAAUAACAGACAAAGCCUUGCAGACACAGCCUUGCAGAAGAACUCUCACUGGCGAUUAUUUAUGAACUAAGCAUGGUAGAAAGAACAACAUUUUACCAACUGCCGAAAACUGCUUAAAAAGUAACAAUCCAGAACCAGCAGAAUAAUGCACACACUUGCACAUACAUCAAUUAGACUUCAGUAUGGAGCAAGGCUCUGGGGUGCCACACCUAUUCACUACUUGGGAAGAAGCUGAGAAGCGAUGUGUUAAAUUUGGCAGAUAAAGUAAAACCAAUACAACUAAAAGUGAAAGGAAAAUGAGAGCAAAUUCCCUUCCAAACAGAGAAUGCAGCAGUGACGGAAUGCAGAUAGAAGAAUGUAGGAGAAAUGACAUAGCAAAGUAAGCCUGUGUGUUGCCCUGCACUAAGGGAACUCUACCAGCCUGGGUCCCACUGAGAACAGCUGAGAGCUGUCUGUGGAAGAGUGCUCAGGCGAAAAGGCUGUGACGUACAGAGAAAAAAUUAUGCUGAAAUCUCCCUUCUCAAUGAUGUCGGUACUUGGAGCUCAGGAUGCAGUCAUCUCAAGACUAAUUAAAAAAAUAAACUAGUGAUGGGAAUGGAAGGAUCCUCAUUUUACUUAAUUAUCUAGGGCAAGGAGAAAACAUCCCUUUCAUCCAAGGGUUGCAUAAUUGUCCAUUAUGGGCUGAAGUUUGGCUUCUUUAAAACAAGUGACAAUACUCAUACGGAAUUACAUGGAAGAAGGAUGUGACCCAUAAGGGUUCAGACCUUUUGAAGCAUCCGAUCUGUUGAUCAUUGACUAAAAGAUCGUGGGAAAAACAGUUCAUGGUUUUCAGUGUCUGAUAAGCCUCUCUACACUCCAACACUAUCAAACAAAACCAAACCAACCCCCCAAAAAAGCCUCAGAACACACACACACAAAAUGUAUCCACAUGUAUAUAACAAAAUGAGAGUAUGAGAAAUCCAGAAGCAAUCAGCACUCAAAAGACUGGUCAAGGUUAUCGUUACAAACAGAGAAACCAGUCUUAAGAAACCAGUGAUAGCCUGUGUUAGGCUGCUGAACUGGAUUUCAAAUUAAAUUUUAUCCAGAAUGAUUUUUUUAAGCUUAUUUUUAGCUUCAACCAUGUGAGAAGCACAUGGCUCCAUAAAUACAUUUCCCUCAGGAGUAAGUUAAUGGGGAGGGGUGUGUGGGAGGAAACAACCUAAAUAAUUCAUUUAAACUUACUAACUGCAUGAAGAAUUUUAUGGCUUCAUGUCUUAAACAUCAGUCAUAAAAGUGUGAUUGACUUUCAUAGUAACGUGCAUACAAGUACCAACAGUGCGUGGGACAGCAGACUGAUGGAAGGAUUCACACAGGCUCCUAGUAGCCUGCAGCAUCCAUGGGCCCUUCGCAAAGCUGAAAGAGAGGGAAAUGAUUUGCAAGAACGUUUCGAUGCUGCUGUGGUAGGCUCUGGCUCUGAAAUGCUCCACAGAAGGACUUGUCUUUUCCUCUGUUCACUCAGGGAGGCUUUGGGAGGGUCAGGUCAUGUGAAACCUUCCAGCAACCACUCUGGAAAACUGUUCAUAAGAAAAAAAGGAAAGGAUAGAACAGUCAUUAGCUAAUGAUCAUCUAUUUCCAGCAUAUAUGAAAGGAGGGAGCCACUGAGUGCACUAAACAUAUUUGCCCUUCCUGUCAAAGAGGGACAUGAAGAAGGACUUGUGUGACAUAAAAUGACUCUAUUUUCCUGGCUACAUUCUACAGAUCCUACAAAAAAAGCAAUGUUUCUUCUACAAACCUCUCCUCUGGGUGAUGACAAAGGUCUUGUGCAGUUGGACAAAAUCAUGUCCUCGGUCUGCAAAUAUUUCACUUAGGUUGUACUCCCUAGAUUUAAAAAAAAAAAAAAAAAAAGAAGAAGGAAAAAGAGAGAGAAGUGGGGUUUGCUUAUUCUGGUUCUUUUCCAAGUGGUCAUAGGCCAGCAGCUUGUGGCCUGCAGCUCCCUCAGCCUGCAGGUUGACAAGCAAAUUCACACCCAGUAGGAGAACAGACCCUCAGGACUUCGCUGCUGCUGUGAGAGUGGCCUUUUUGACAUAUUGUUAAGACAUUAUAAGCACCAACUUGCUGUUGCGAUGGUGGAUUUGUCUCCCAGUCUGGAGGGGAGCCCUCUGAGGGGUCCUCAGGACCAUCCUCUGCGCUGACGAAGGGCCAAAAGCACAUCAACAUCUCUUUGGCUUUGGGAGAUGUAUUUAUUUUCAUUGCACUGGAUGGGAUGCGCAAAGGUUUUUAACUCAUUUUUUAUGAUUGCUGUGUAACGCACCUUGGAUUUCCUCUCAUAGAUGAUGCAUGUGAAGGUUAAAGUAAAUGCAGUCACUGUGAAAUGCAGAAAAGGGAUCCUAUUAGCUAAAAUGGCAAUGAGCUCUAUUUUUUGGUUUGCUGCAGUCUGGACUUCAUCUCCCCCAGUGAAUAUGUCCAUGUUUAUAUCUGACUACAAACUUGUUUUUUUUCUUAAACUCUACAGAGAAGUUUAUCUUUGGUUACUUCUACUGUGGACUACUGGCUUUGCCUCUUUUCAACCUACAGAUCAAAGACAUUAUAUAAAAACAGUGCAAUUAUGACUAAGAUAAACACUUUAAACUCUGUUGCUGUGAUUUCAUCCAGAUUUUUUUUCUAGGUUUGUAUUAACACUCAAGUGACUCAAUCAGCAUUGGUAGCAAUAAAACACACAUUAUAAUCCCCCGCUGAUCCAUCAUUUUCAUUUGUACCAAGAAGACUUAAGUGGUGCAGCUUGCAUUUUGUUUCCUUUUUCUAGCCUCUGUCAAAAGUACAUGCCCUUCUGCAACGUACACGUGAUACUUAGAAAUCAAAAGAACAGCUAAUGAAUUGCAUCCCACCUCCUCAUGUGGAAAAUGGAUCUAAACUAGCAUCUAAAACACAAUGUGUUUGCUUUAAAUAGCCAAACGCAGAGGGACCAGAGAGAUCUGUGGGGAAUUUUUGGCAUCAUGUGAAGAUUUUUUCAGCCCUCGAAUCCCCCACCCUUGAAUUCUGUGGUGGGUUAGUAGGGAAAGGAUAUAAAAUUGAGGAAUUUUUUUUAAAGGCCUUUCUCUUUGUUUUCUAUUCUCCUUGGCUCCGCUCUUAUAUUUUAAUACCGUACAACAGUAAGGAACAAGGAGGGUCAUUCAAAAAUAUUUUUAAUCUGUUAUUAAAAACAGAACUGCCUUUUUCUGCUGCUGGACCACAUUUACCUACGGCGUCCUAAAAUGGCUAAAAGGGCUGCAACCAUCCCUUCUUCUUAAAGCUUUUGAGGGGUGCCAACCCAAACCUGAAUGAAUGCAGGCGGUGGAGAAUGGCAGUCCUACACUCAGUUUCUACAUGCUGCUGACCACUUUGGUGUCAAGGCACUUCCCAGGGGUCCAAAAUUCGAUACCAGCACCGCUUUCCUCUGAACAAACGAGAUGCUUUGCUUUGGCCUGGCUUUCUCCACUUACCACUCUUUCAUUAAGGCAUAUUUAACUUUAAUUCACCAUGGUAGGAUGGUAGCAUGAAUUUAAGGGCUUUGGUGAAUGAAGAGGGGAUUGCUCAUGUAUUAAUAGCUAUGAAGUGCUGCAGUAGCAAGAGAGGGAGCGAAUGCUUGGUCCCUGUUGUGAUAUGACUUCGUUCUCUUGUUUCUAAGACUACAUUACAUGAAUGUUCAGACGUUUUUGUGGUCAUACAUGUAUUGCACUUCUAGAUUUAGUUUUACUGCAUUAGGAGAAUGUAAAUGCCUGAAGGAGCUCCUGGACAGAAACAGAAGGGUAUAGGGAAUAUGAGGAUUUAGAACACAAGAUGUAAUUCAGAAGUAUCAAGACUGGUUCAGCCUGUUCCAGUAAAGGUGGUGGAAUGCCUACAUUUGUUUUUUCUUUCUCCCCAUGCUGUAUGUUCUUGGCAUCUAUAGCCAUUUGCACAGAUCAGCAAUAAAGCCUCCAAACAAUGAAAUGACAGUUUUCUUCCACCUGUGAGGAUUUCUAUUGCUUGACUAUUUUGUAAAGGAUAAUGUGGUUCUCAACUCCCCAUCUCCAACUUCUAUGCCAUUGGCAAGAUGUCAAACUUCUACACAACAGAAGUCAAAGUCACUGGUUUAACUUCUUGAGAAUAAGCAGAUAAUCCAAGUGUCCUGCUUACACAUACUGUCCCAGCUACUGGGAACUGAAUUGCUGAUGUUAUCUCAUAUAUAAUGCAGAAUGCAACACGGAGCUACUAGGAACAGUAAUAUCUAUUAGCAGUCAUAUAUAAAAGCAAGUAAACAAGAAUUAAGUAUAAAAGUUAGAGGCAGAUCAUUAUAAGAGGAAAAUUUUGCUGUGUUUCUUCACAAAAACAAACAAACAAAAACACAGCAGUAUAAAAAGAAUGGUAAUUUGGCUUGUGUAAUGCAUGAAGAUCUGCCUGAGAUUCUCUGUUACUACUUUUGACCUUGGGGAAAAAAAAAAACAACACAGCAGUCUCAGAUGAUUGGAGAGAAAAAAAACCACAAAUCAUUAAGAAGAGCAAACUGACACAAACCAUUCUCAUUAGAGCCUACGUGUCCUAGAUUGUGCUCUUCAACAUAGUUACAAUGAAAUAAUUUUUUUUCUCAAAAAGAAUGGGGAAAAGAUUACUUCAAUAAAUACCAUAAAUCUCCCAAAAUAGCUUCUUGUCCUGGAUUAUCUCAGGGCAAAUGUCCAGCAGAAAUUACAGCAACAUCACAGAUAUGCAGAGUGAGUAUCUAAGACCAGUCAAAGUAUCUAUUAUUGCUCGUUUUUAUCUUUCUCUAAAGGGAAGGAAGCUAUGUUUGACCUCUAAGGAAGGUCAACAACUUAAUUAUUGUACUCAAGACAAAGCUACUCUGUGCACAGGAAAUGAAAGCUGAAGAGACGUGCCGUGAAAAGAAAGACACUUUCCUCUCUUAAAUAAACGAGACCUGCAUAAUUCUAUAUUGUUUUCAUCCUGUUCAAGACUUGUGGCUGGAUGCUAAGUGAUGUGCAUUGGGAAAAACAGGGAACCCAGGAGCCUUCCUGCAUUUGCAACACAAGUGUUGAAGUAGACAGUUAAAAAACAUAUCUGUAUGGAGAGAGCUGUCAUAACUGUUCUUUUGUUAAUAUGUCAAAUCCUACCUGUGCUAAAUCCCCAUAAGUGAAGUUGGCCAAUCUUCAUUUUGACAGCUUGCCUGCUUGGUGAUGACCCAACAGGAUGAUGUUGAGAGCACGCUGGUGACUUCCAGCUCACUUGGUGUCUUCAGAAAUCAGGAAGAACUCAGGAGCUUCUAUUUAAAAAAACGCAAAUGGAAAAUCUGUAAGGCAGAGGACCUGUGGAAAAAUCUCCAGAGGACAUGCAAUGAGAGGAUUAAUCCUCUUUCACAAGAGAAAUGAUGUUAGCUUGCACAGAUAACCUGAAUUCUGACAUUUUUUACCAUUUGAAUACCUGACAAAUUCUUUCAUAUAUAAAAGGAAGAACAACAUGAGCAGCUCAGUCUUGAUGAGUUUACGAGUUUCAAGAAAACAACGACCUUUCCAAUCCAAGAUCACCAUUUAGCCAAAAGAUCUUCAGUGAUAUUUUGAACUUUUUGUUUGCCACACAGCCUUCUCUUACAACUGGCAGAACUGCCAUGAAACUGGACUCCUUGUCAGGCAGUUGGUGCGAUAACUGGCAAUGUUCACAAUCACAGGGGCUUCCCUUCACAUAAAGCAUCCCAGUGGAAAACCCUUAAGUUCCAAGUUCAAAAAGGAUAAUUUCUCCUGUUGGGAAAAUGGGAAAACUCUCUAAAGCAGGCAGAUUUUUCACUAAAGUCUCCACAGUGGCUGAGAAGUGAACAGUCUGGCUAACAAGAAUGACCAACUAUACAAAUCUAACAGAAAUGUUUUAGGAUGGCUGGGAUUGGAUUUACAUAUGUAUGUCUGCAUGUACGUACAAAGCCCAGAGCCUAUAUGUGGGCCAAGGCUUUCACAGUCACUGCUACUAGGAUGCAACCUAUCAUUUGUAGUCUUUGUUCACCGACACAUGACCUUGUAUUUUGCUGUUUUAAAACACACGUUCAAAGGGGGCUAGUUUAUCAAGUGAUGCAGUUUGCCUUGCAGACCUGACCUGCCUUGUUUAUUUACCACCAGAGUAUAUCUGCAACUUUCCCAGCAGAUUAUUUAUUUUUCCUUUCAAAUCCUUGAUAACAAUGGUGAAUGGCCCAGGGACAAGAACAAACCAUUGCAGAACCUUGAUAAAAAUACCCUCCUGAUACAUUUCUGUCCUGGUAUAUCAGUUCAGACAUUUAAUAUCUCCUACACUGUGGGUAGUGACAUUUUAGGAUAAUUUUGUACAAGUACAAAACUAUACAGGAUCAAAACUGUAAUGACUGGUGUCAUUAUGUCAACAUCUCUUUAACUAAAUGUUGAUUGUUUUGUACAUCCGAUUUUCUUACAAUUGUCUCAGAACUGAUGUGAGGUUAAGUGGCCUAUCUGUCUGGGCAGGCUGGGAAAAGGGGAUCACCUCCUUUGUCCUUUUAAAAUAAUGAAACAUUUGUUCACUUCAAGGUCUCUGGAAUUUCCCCAGUACCUUAUGAAAUCGGGCUCAACAAGAGAUGUUGAUAUAGAAUAUGGCCUGCUAUAAGCAAGAGAAAAAAAAACAACUUGGCCUUAAGGCUUGGAAACAAUUUUGUAACUCUUAGUUUCAACCAGAUCAGUGUGGAAAUGGAUAGUAUUUGUUCUUGUGGGUUAGCAAUUGGUCCUGGUUUUGAUUCUGAUGUAUUCGGCUCCCUUAAAACAACACUGAAUUUCUGCAAUUUAUAUCCAUCUAAAAUCUCCAAUGUCAAAUUACUGAGUUGCGCUGACUCCAGCAGCAUGAUGAUGUGGCAUUACCUGGCUUCCACCUGUUACAGUAAAUUUCCUGUGUUUGCACUAGAGUGGGCCCCAGCUUGCAAAUAUCAGCAGAACUUGCCUGAAGUGCAGGUUUUUAUGAGGCUGCCUGAAGUAGGCAGUUUCACCUGGUUUUGGGUUUCAUUAGGAAAGCUUUGCUCCAGUUACAGCUAUUUUUAAGGGUAACAGGGCAUCACCACACCUCUUUACAAAUGGAAAAAAAACCUGUUCAUCCUUCAGGAGAACAUCACUGCACAGAGACAUCAGUGGGAGACCAUCUGACAGCAGAUGUGCUUUUCUAAAUUGUUUUUGCUCGAUCUAAUUUUGAAAGCUCAGAGUUUUUGCUUCUUCCCCUACCACACUGAAUGAAUCAACUCCUCCUUCGCUCUCCCGUAUUUUCAGGCUGUGCAUAUGUAGAGCCAUUUCUGUAGGACAGUGGAUUUGCUCUGAAGACACAGAGUGCUCUCUGAAGGCCUGACAGGUAAACAAAUGGCAAAGAAAAAUUGUUGCUGGAUACCAGUGGGUAGCAGUCAGAGGAUACAGCCCUGAGGAAAAGUAAGAAGUCUGCCCUGAAGUACAAGUAACUACGUCCAGUUGAUAUUUCUCCCAAGAACACUGGUGAGAAAUCUAUUAAAUUGAAAGUUUUGUCUUUUAACAAUAAAGACAUCUGAAAUCAGAUCCUUAACUCUGGAGGAAAAAGGGUACUUGAACACUGAUGAUAUAUUAGGAGAAAUCCUGCAAGAGAGAAAGCUCUUUGAUUAAAGAUCUGUCUUUAAGAGACUUCCCAUAGAGCCUUCCCUCAUGCUUCUGAACAAAGACAUAGCUAGAGAUACAUCUUGUCUUAUUUUUUUCCUCACAGUAUAUCGUAUCUAUUUGCUUAGGACAUUAUUUUCCUUUCAUCAGGAAGGAUGGUUUUCACAGAUAUACUAUUUAUAUGGGUGCAGGGUCAAUCUUUGUGCCUUUUCUUCCACCCCUACUCGUAACAGAAAGAAAAGAAAACUGCAUAAAAACACAAUAGCUUUCACCACUACUUUUAGGGCUGAUCAAAGGUCAGCAUUUCUGUUUCAAGAAUAACUCCCACUUUCAACGCCACAGAGGUAGAACUGGUCUUUAUUCUUCAUUAAAUAUCUAGUGGGCAAGACUCCCUGCUGAAGUGCAUUAGGGUAAGUGGCUACUGAGCUCAGAUAGAAAGAACUCAGUUCACACUAUGAUUUCUUACAGUUCUUGUGAACUCUGAAGGUUAGUUUCCCCAGAUAAAGCUGCAAAUACACUUGCAGAGAUGGAUUUCCUAAGAUAAAGAGGUAGCACUAGGUCCAUGUUUUGCAGUUUCAUGCCUAUUUCUUUAAACACUUACUGAGGAAGUCAAAGUCCUUAACUAUUUGAUGCCUUUUUGUAAAUCACAGAGCAAUUCUGUUCAGUGACUAUUCUGUGGCAUUAUAAAAUUGACCAAAAAGUUUGGCCAAGAUUAUUCAGCCUCCACCUGGAGAAGGCUCUGGGAAGACCUGAGAGCAGCCUUUCAGUAUCUAAAGGGGGGCUGUAAGAAAGAAGGGGAGAGACUCUAUAGCAGAGCCUGUUGUGAUAGGACAAGGGGAAGGAGCUUCAAAGUAAAAGAGGGGAGAUUUAGACUGGAUAUAAGAAAGAAGUUUUUACAAUAAGGGUGGUGAGGCACUGGAACAGGUUGCCCAGAGAUGUGGUAGAUGCCCCGUUCUCAGAAACAUCCAAGGUCAGGCUGGACGGGGCUCUGAGCAACCUGAUCUAGUGGAGGUGUCCUUGUUCAUUGCAGGGGGUUGGACUAGAUGGCCUUUAAGGGUCCCUUCCAACUUAAAUGAUUCUAUAAUGGUUUGGAGAGGGAUGGAUGACUCCAGCUAUAGACUCUGAGUCUUAAGGUUUGUUAGUGAUUCAUUUAUGGCCUAUAAAGUUCCUUCUGCUCCUUACAUGGUGUUGCAGGACAUACGCUACAUUUACUUAGGAUUUUUCAUUAUGUCCCUCAAGUUUGUAACAAAGAUCGUGCUGAACAGUGGCACAUUAGUUCAAGCAGUUCCCUCAGGUUCUUGACAUUUUUGCAAAGACUUUACCCAACACAAAUUUGAAAGCAUUAGCUGCAGUGCACAGAAAGUGCAAUCCAAGAGUAGCCAGACAGAGAUAGCUAGCCUCUCUUUUCAAAAUGACAGCAAUGGAAUCCCAGCUGUGCUUUCCUGCAGGCCUGUUAUUCAGGUCAGGAGAAGGCCCCACCUGUAAUAACUCCAUUCUUCAUCCACUUUUACUUUAACCACAUCCCUCCCUUCUCCAGCCUAGCUGAGUGUCUGCUUUUAACAAAAUAUGCUGGCUCCCUCUUUUUGUACUAACUCUA
RNAcentral lists this long non-coding RNA (18457 nucleotides) under Gallus gallus (chicken). Lineage: Eukaryota; Metazoa; Chordata; Aves; Galliformes; Phasianidae. The record is from RNAcentral.